Molecule: ribosomal RNA, 112 nt
Filed under: Caerostris darwini
Lineage: Eukaryota; Metazoa; Arthropoda; Arachnida; Araneae; Araneidae
Source: RNAcentral
ACGGACAUACCAUGCUGAAUAUACCGGUUCUCGUUAGAUCACCGAAGUCAAGCAUCAUUGGGCGCGGUCAGUACUUGGGUGGGUGACCAUCUGGGAACACCGCGUGCCGUUA